RNAcentral lists this ribosomal RNA (468 nucleotides) under uncultured bacterium. Its description in RNAcentral is "partial 16S ribosomal RNA". It matches the Rfam family "Bacterial small subunit ribosomal RNA", at positions 28 to 507 of the family's 1533-position model. The record is from RNAcentral.
GACGAACGCUGGCGGCGUGCUUAACACAUGCAAGUCGAACGGAAAGGCCCUGCUUUUGUUGGGUGCUCGAGUGGCGAACGGGUGAGUAACACGUGAGUAACCUGCCCUUGACUUUGGGAUAACUUCAGGAAACUGGGGCUAAUACCGGAUAGGAGCUCCUGCUGCAUGGGGGGGGUUGGAAAGUUUCGGCGGUUGGGGAUGGACUCGCGGGUUAUCAGCUUGUUGGUGGGGUAGUGGCUUACCAAGGCUUUGAAGGGUAGCCGGCCGGAGAGGGUGACCGGCCACAUUGGGCCUGAGAUACGGCCCAGACUCCUACGGGACGCAGCAGUGGGGAAUCUUGCACAAUGGGCGGAAGCCUGAUGAAGCAACGCCGCGUGCGGGAUGACGGCCUUCGGGUUGUAAACCGCUUUCGCAUGUGCCGAAGCGUGAGUGACGGUAAUGGGUAAAGAAGCACCGGCUAACUACGUG